Molecule: RNA transcript, 4561 nt
Organism: Myxocyprinus asiaticus (Chinese sucker)
Lineage: Eukaryota; Metazoa; Chordata; Actinopteri; Cypriniformes; Catostomidae
Gene name: ubiquitin carboxyl-terminal hydrolase 20-like
Exons: 26
Source: RefSeq, a predicted model, not a curated record
UAACCAGGGGGCAAACAUGAAAAUAAAACAGCAACAGCAAUUAUUUUAAAAGAAAUUACAAACCAGAACACAUUGUAUGUACAUUUUAGUACUUUAGAUGAGUAAAUAUUAUUAAAUUAGUCCGAUGAUAGAGACAAAAGCAUUCAUUGGCUCUGGUCAGAGCUGUGACGCACUCGUGCUGUAUUGAGUAUGGACGCUGCUUAGUCUGCUGCUGCCCACCACUGUUACAAAUGUCACCGACUGGCCUAAAAUUAUCAUUAAUGCUCGUUGUUUUUGUUUCUGUCUGACAGAGUGAGGUGAAAGUCAAGAUGACUGAGAGCGGGGAUCUUUGCCCUCACCUGGACUCUAUUGGGGAAGUUACUAAGGAGGAACUGAUUCAGAAGUCAAAGGGUACUUGUCAGUCAUGUGGAGUAGGUGGUCCCAACCUCUGGGCAUGUUUACAGUGUAACUAUGUUGGCUGUGGAGAGUCAUAUUCAGAUCACAGUACUAUACAUGCUCAGGCCAAAAAACACAAUCUGACUGUAAACCUGACCACAUUCAGGGUGUGGUGUUAUGUCUGUGAAAGGGAGGUGUUUCUGGAACCAAAGCCUGUUACGCCUGUAUCAUUAGCUCACGGCUGCAAACAUCUUGAACAGCCAACAUGUCAUCCAUUGAAGGCAGUGCCCAUUGCUGUGGUGGAUGAGGAAGGCUCAGAAUCUGAGGAGGAUGAGCUCAAACCUAGAGGUCUCACAGGGAUGAAGAACAUUGGAAACUCUUGUUACAUGAAUGCUGCGCUGCAGGCCCUGUCUAACUGUCCUCCUUUGACUCAGUUUUUCCUGGAUUGUAGUGGGUUGGUGCGUACAGUUAAGAAGCCAGCGUUGUGUAAAAGCUAUCAAAAACUUAUCUCUGAGCUCUGGCACAAGAAACGACCAAGUUAUGUUGUUCCCACAAGUCUCUUUCAUGGAAUCAAACUGGUGAACCCUAUGUUUCGUGGCUAUGCCCAACAGGACACUCAGGAGUUCUUGCGUUGUCUGAUGGACCAGCUUCAUGAGGAGCUGAAAGAGGCCCUGACCGACUACAACGUUGCGAUCUUAGAUGUUGACCUCGACCACUCACUUGACAGCCAUAACCAUAGCGAUGAAGACCGAAGCCCAUCUGAGGACGAAUUCUUGUCGUGUGACUCUGGAUCAGGAAGUGAGAGAGGGGAUGGAGAGAGGGCUGGAGGAGAGGCAGAGCUGCUGAUUCAAGAUGAGUGUGUGGGAGUGAGGGGGAACGGAGGGAUCUCGGAGAAAGAGAGGCUAAAGGAGAGAAGAGGCGAGGAGAAUACAAGAGAAAUGGAUGAGGAUGCAGAUGUGGACACGACCACACAGGAGGGACAGGCAGAGAGAGAAACAGAGGCAACCACUACAGCCACUACUGUACAGAUACAAGGAAAUACAGAGCCUGAUAAUGAAGCUUCCAUGCACUGUCAAUCUUCUCGUUCCUGUAGCCCUGUCCACAGUGUGCAGGAGCUGCACUCCAGACUCUCCAGUAGUCCACCAAGGUCCAGCCCCCUCAGAGCUGGCCCCACUUACACUUUAAAGAAAGCUCAGAUGCACCUAGGCACCAAGAAGAAGAAGCAGUCCCGUUUCCGCAGUGUUAUUUCCGAUAUCUUUGAUGGAUCCAUUCUGAGUCUCGUUCAGUGUUUGACGUGCGACCGGGUGUCGACAACAGUGGAGACCUUUCAGGACCUGUCCCUGCCUAUUCCGGGUAAAGAAGAUUUGGCGAAACUCCACUCCUCCAUCCACCAGAAUGCUCCUGUUAAAACUGGUGUCUGCACAGAUGGAUAUGCGACCCAGGGCUGGAUCUCCUACAUCAUGGAGUACAUACGAAGGUUUGUGGUCUCCUGUAUCCCCAGCUGGUUUUGGGGCCCCAUGGUAAUCCUGGAGGACUGCUUGGCAGCAUUCUUUGCUGCAGAUGAGUUGAAAGGAGACAACAUGUACAGCUGUGAAAGAUGUAAAAAAUUAAGAAACGGUGUGAAAUAUUGUAAAGUUCUACGUCUACCAGAAAUUUUGUGCAUUCACCUGAAGCGUUUCAGACAUGAAGUCAUGUACUCGUAUAAGAUAAAUAGCCAUGUGUCAUUCCCAUUGGAGGGUUUGGAUCUCAAGCCCUUUUUGGCUAAGGAGAGCCCAUCUCAGAUUACUACCUAUGACCUGCUGUCUGUCAUCUGUCACCACGGCACUGUGGGCAGUGGUCACUACAUAGCAUACUGUCAAAAUGUGAUUAAUGGACAGUGGUACGAGUUUGACGAUCAGUAUGUAACAGAGGUGCACGAGACCGUAGUGCAGAAUGCUGAAGCCUACGUCCUCUUCUACAGGAAGAGCAGUGAAGAGUCAGUGAGGGAGAGACAGAAGGUUGUAGCUCUGGCUAAUUUAAAGGAGCCCAGUCUCCUGCAGUUCUACAUCUCCAGAGAAUGGCUCAAUAAGUUCAACACAUUCACUGAGCCUGGGCCCAUCACCAACCACACUUUCCUCUGUCAACAUGGAGGAAUCCCUCCUACUAAGUACCACUAUGUGGAUGAUCUGGUUGUGAUCCUGCCUCAGAAUGUGUGGGAAUAUCUUUAUAACAGGUUUGGGGGAGGCCCAGCCGUAAAUCACUUAUACUUGUGUGCCAUCUGCCAAGUAGAGAUCGAGACUUUAGCCAAACGGCGGAAACUGGAAAUAGACACCUUCAUCAAGUUAAAUAAGGAGUUUCAGGCUGAGGAAGCUCCUACGGUCAUCCUGUGUAUCAGUAUGCAGUGGUUCAGGGAAUGGGAGAACUUUGUCAAGGGCAAAGAAAACGAGCCUCCAGGACCCAUUGACAACAGCAAGAUUGCAGUAAUGAAAGGCGGACAUAUCCAGCUUAAACAGGGAGCAGACUACGGGCAGAUAUCUGAGGAAACGUGGCAGUACUUGUUAAGUAUUUAUGGUGGUGGGCCAGAGAUUGCUGUGCGCCAAACUAUCAGCCCCCCAGGCACUGACACACAUGGAGAGAGGAAGAUAGAGGCAGAGACCAGAGCUCUCUGAAUUGAUAUUCCAGAGUUCUUGAUGUGUUUGUUUCCUUACCUUUCCAUUGGAAACUGCAGCGGAAUUGUGCUGCAUUAGUGAGGUUUCUCUCUUAUGUCAAACUCCAGGAUUCCCCCAAUGUACUUAAGCACAAAUGCGGACGUGAGGGACAGUACUCGAUAUUUUAGGUGAUGAUGACCCACGUGUUGAUGACCAUUUCACACCACGCUUGCAUUUCUGUCUCAUAAGCACUUUGUGAGCAUUUCUGUGGAUCUAUUAUCUGUGACUGACAGAGCUAUCAUAGUGUAGGAAAGGGUCCUAUUUAUUAAGUGAAAAGUAUAUUAUUAGAAACGUACAACAUGAAACAUAUUUAUUCUAUUCACGUACAAGUUAGGGUGUGCAUUGGUGAUAUGCUUCUUUUGUUUGUCUGUGGAAGUAAGGGCAGUGAUGUAAGCGUAAUUUCUCAGUACAUUACAUCUUUGGUAGUGCAAAUGAAAUAAAGUGAAAUACAUCAUGCACUAUAAGCAGGACACAAGCUGUAUGUCACUCUAAACCUUCAUUAAAGCUCUUUGCUGACUUCUGUGUAGGCAAAAUAAGGCUUGAAAUUGGUAUCUGCAUGUUCAAAGAAGCUUUCUCACUAUUCAUGUUCUUUAGAAGCACUAUCAGAUGGAGAUGCUUUGAAAUUGCAGAAAAGGUAUAUGCUGCUACAUUUCAGAAGUUUGGAAUAGCAACAAGAUAUGGUGUCAUAUGAGGCUUUGCAUUUUCAUGUGCAUAGUAAAGAAUUUCUUGAAUCUAAUGCCUGUUCUAAUGUUAUUUCACUUGUUUUAUCACUGUAACAAUUUUAUGAUGACCCAUUUUUAGAUUUGGAUGUUAAAAGUUAAAGAGGUGUUACUUACAAUCAAUAUUAAAUUCUGUUUUAAAGCAUUUUGAAAUCCUCUGAACUAAAAUGAAUAGCUCUGUCCCAAUCAUAGGAAGUGAAUCCUCAGUGCAACAGGGUUGCGUAAACUGCAAUGUUUCAGAUCAUCAGUAUUAAAUAGUUUUCAGAUCAUUCAACAUUUCAUCAUAUUGUCAGAAACAAAACUGCUUGGAUGCAUAGUGUGUUGCAUCAUUAAAUGCUGAAAUGUUUUAAUGAUUCCCCAUUUGAUGAUUAUAUAACUGGUUGCAUACAACACCACAUCCCCAAGUGAAACAAACUAAACUACUUUUCUAAGGGAAUGUGCAAUGAGGUAGAUCAGGUGUGUUAGGAGUGCUAAAGGAAUAGCAUUAAAAUGUCUGUUUUUGAACAUAUUCUUUGUACAUAAUAACAUGUAACAGUUUUAUUUAUGAAUGUCGUCUUUUCACAUCAACAAAAGGACAAAAUUGUGCAGAAUUGUGAGUUGUGUAUAGGAUAACGUGAUGACUAGGUUUGAACAAUGAAAGGCCUGUUACAUAUUUUGUUGUAGGAACUUAAAAUUCCAAGGUUAUUCUUGGCGGAAUGUCUUUUUCAUUUAAGUGAUUUAAAUCUUCUUAAUUGUUAAGAUGUGUCUGAUUUGAGAAAUUUAAAUAAAGCCUGUUCUUUA